Molecule: non-coding RNA, 3513 nt
Organism: Petromyzon marinus (sea lamprey)
Lineage: Eukaryota; Metazoa; Chordata; Hyperoartia; Petromyzontiformes; Petromyzontidae
Source: RefSeq, a predicted model, not a curated record
UCGCCGCGCGGUGUCUCGCAGACUCCGCGUGCGUUCGUGCGUCGGCUCAGAGACGCGGGCGUUCACGUCGCAGUGGAAGUGCCUGGCGCUCUGAGAUUGACAUAAACGUGAGUUCGAGAUAACGCGUUAUUUCGUGGCGACGUGUGCGCGCGUCUGUGUUUAUUGCUGUGUAACAUGGUAGGCAGAAGCAAACCGAGACAAUUACCAAGGGGAGACGGUGGUCCCUAAAUGUCAAGCAUUUCAAAAGGGCCCCCUACAUUAAUGCCAAAUCACAACCCACCCAAUGUAUUUUCCCCGGUAAAUAUCCACAACACAACAAUGGCCGGGGUUUCAAGGGAGGGGCGGGCAUCGUCGCCCACAUCGCGCCCACCCUUGGAUCCACAUCGCCCCCACCCUUGGAUCCACAUCGCCCCCCACCGUGGCACGUGUGUCACGUGGUGCCGGCCGGACAGCCAAACUGCGUUCCAUCGCUCGGCAAGCGACAGGCGCCGAACUGCCGUGGCUCGCAGCCUCGGAUGGGCUUGGCUGUUUGGUUACACACAGGUGCAUGUCCAACCGGCCCGGGGGAUGAUUAAGUAAUGACAAUGCUAUUCACUUGAUUGGUGGGAGAGGACAUUCGUUACCCAGGGUGUGCCUGGGUAAUUGGCUCAGCUGCUGCUGCUGCGGUAUAAAUGGGCAGUGGAAACAUAGAGAGCUGUGUCUGUGUCGCGCAGUUACUGCUGCAGAUGGCGAUGAUGACGGCAAUAAAGCGCAGCCGUGAUUGAGCAGCGGGGGCGGCAGGCCGAGUGAUGGUGUCCCGUCCACAAGAGAGAGGAGAGAGGCCAGGAGAUCCCCUCCCAGCUCUCGGAGAUUUGUUACUCGCACAGAUUUCGCACGGAGACGCGGAACACCGCAAGCAAGUGUGAAGAACCAAACCUUACCACCAUCAUCAUCGCUCGCUUUGACAAGGAACAAGCCUCCAGGCACAAUCCAGUGAUUGAGUUGAGCGGCUGACGGGGGAAUUCAUUUGAGGCUUCCUCAGGCGGGAGGAUCAAGCUGGGUCACGUCGUGUACUCACAUGGCGCCGGGUGUUCAUUGCAUUGUGGCGACUCAGGUUUGUGCGAUUUCGCUUAUAUGAGCCUCGCCCAUUUCUACCCAAAUUUGCUACAUGCGGUAUGAAUUCACUCAUGGGGCUAUGCGGUCGUGCGUGGGAUGGCACUGUGUGUGUGAUGCGUGGACUUGUCGGCAGGCAACCGUCUUGUGCGUUUUCGCUUUCUGCGCUCCUUUUAUUUUUUUGAACGCAUCUACCGCAAGGAAACCUCUCUUAGCCAACACAGUUUCGACUACGAGUCUACGACGUUUCCGCAGACAGACGGGAAACGGCAUUGAACAUGUACUGCUGCGGGACCAGUGGGUUCCAAUCGGCACUUGUACAUUCACACUCCCACCGCUGCCUCUCUCCCCCGUGACCUCCCCCCCCCCCGUACCGCCGCGUGUGCCGAACCAGCCCGGGGAGCCCCGUCACGGCCGCGCCUGACGCUGACACGCGGCCUGGCUGCUGCUGCCGCAGCGUCUCGGUAAUUGUCUGUCACAAGCCCGUGGCAGCCGCUGCUGGAUGAACUUUAAUGACGUCUCGGGCCCCUCGUUGUAGCGACCGCGCUGUGAUACGGGCCGCGUCGUGCUUAGAGCCGGGGACGCGAGCUCGGGGAGCAGUCGGCUCGCCGCAGUCUCUGAGCGAGCCCAGGCGAGAUUCGGCGCCGUGGCUCCCUCCCUUAUCCAACAAUCCUCGCUGGAGCCAGAUGAUGACUCAAGGGCAGAUCCGGGCAAAGGGGGUUAUUGGUGUUUUCAAAACGAGACUGAAAAUGCCACGGAACAUUCGUAGCUCUGCAGAUGUUUGCCCGUAGGUGUGUGGCCUCGUAAUCACUUGGAGCGGCUCGCCCCGAUAAAUAUACACACACACAUAUUGCAUGUUUAUAUAUUUAUAUAGGGAGUGAAUAUAAAACCCGGCUCCUGUUUCCAUCUCAACACUCCGCCGGAUGAUUGAUGCCGAUGAUCAAAAGGAGAGCUGUAAGGUAUCACCUGCACAGCGACGUGGUGAAAGGCGCUCGCUAAGCUUGUGCCAAGCUACGUGCGCGGUGGGUACGGCGUGGGGUGACGAGGAGGCGCGCUGUGCCGCGCGUGGCGGGCAGCAGGGAGGUCAUCCACGCGCGAGCGGCGUCGCGCGUGGACCCAGAGGCGAUCGUCGGCAUCCGCUUGAUUGCAUCGCAGUAAAGGCGCGCGGCAGCUGUGUAUAUAUCGAGCGGUUUCUUGAAUUCUUCUUCAGUAACCGUGGUCCCUCUCGCGGGUUGUUGCCGGCUGCUAUCAAACGCGCGGCGCGUGAUGGAUGUUGCUUCCGCCAGGGAAACGAAAGGGAAGAGGCGGGGGGGUUGUGCGCAGGAGGUGCUGCUCAUUAUCCCGCGUCCACCGGGGGAAAGGCGGAACCCAUGGCUCUACUGACGACGAUGAGGAGGGGGGGGGGGCUGCGUGGUCAACGACGAGUUGGCAGCCUUCCAUUAAGAGCGUCUUCCUCUGCUUAUUUUACAACUAAACACAUUGCGCUUUUCCGUAGCGUACGGGAUUUUGAACCCUGCAAAACGAAUCCAUUUAAUUUUAAAUUCCACGGGACCUUUGCUGAUCUCAUUUUAAAGCAGCCCCGGGAUAGCGCGAGAGUGCAUGAGGAGAGUAAAUGGAAAAUUAAACACACGACCACAGUCGUGCAGUUGUUGUCAUGCACCCCCAACGAUGGCCAGCAGAGUAGAGACACUGUGGAGUCUGCGCGCCUUCAUCGGAGGAGGAAGAAGAGCAACACGACACGAACGCUCUCAUCAAGCCCGCUCGUCGUGCCCAGCAGGCCUCAGACGUUGGCAUCCCGCUCCUGAACCAUCUUGGUGCCAUCGUGCCCAAGGCUCGAGUCGAAGAGCGAGUGGCCUGCGACCAGGCACGUCUGGUGGAGGAGAGGAGGCGCCGACUGCGACCUCCCCCCCACACCUCGCGUGGCAAAUUGCCCCCUCGGGGAGGGGGGGGUGAAGAGCUGCAACACAAAUCCGGAUGCGUGAGUGAAGGGUCGCAGGUGAGAGCAGGGCCAUCUGAGUCGCAGCAGACUGGCGGCAGAAUUUAGCGCGUGGGAGAAGGAUUGACGACACGAGCGAGCGUGGUGUCUGAGCACUCGGUACUGUGUGCCAUGGGUGAUGCCUCAUUGGGGUUGAAGCUUAAAAAAAACAAGUUAAUUCAAUUGCUGAGCACAGGCCCACAAUGUAAAGCGGCAGCAAUAAACGGCACUUGAAUGAAUAAAUAACUUGGGGGAGGGGGGGGAAGAGGUUGGGAGGAGGAUAUUCCAAAGUGGAGCAGAGCGAGGGAGGAAGCAGAAAGUGCGAUGACCUGCAGUUUGGUGGUUGAACAGAGAAGUGGUGCUGGUUGUUGCUGGCUGCGAAAUGUUGUGGUGUUUCGCCGUUGGGCUUGUUCAGCACGUGGUGUAAAUAAAUAAUUUCGACCGCC